RNAcentral lists this ribosomal RNA (253 nucleotides) under uncultured bacterium. RNAcentral describes it as "partial 16S ribosomal RNA". It matches the Rfam family "Bacterial small subunit ribosomal RNA", at positions 524 to 776 of the family's 1533-position model. The record is from RNAcentral.
UACGUAGGGGACUAGCGUUGUUCGGAUUUACUGGGCGUAAAGCGCUCGUAGGCGGAUCACUAAGUCAGGGGUGAAAUCCCGAGGCUUAACCUCGGAACUGCCUUUGAUACUGGAGAUCUGGAGAUCGGGAGAGGUUGGUGGAAUUCCGAGUGUAGAGGUGAAAUUCGUAGAUAUUCGGAGGAACACCAGAAGCGAAGGCGGCCAACUGGCCCGAUACUGACGCUGAGGCGCGAAAGCGUGGGGAGCAAACAGG